AUGCCUCGCACGAAGCAGGUAAUGAAGCUGGUCGACAACGGCAAGAAGCGGGAUCUGACGUACAGGACCCGCCUGGGCAGCCUCGUCAAAAAGGUCUCGGAGCUCUCCACGCUCUGCGGCAUCGACGUCUUCCUCCUCUGCGUCAAGCCCGGCCCGGCCGGCGGCGAGGUCACGGCCUGGCCGGAGGACCGCGACGCCCUGCGGGAGCUGGUCCCGCGCUUCCGCGGGACUCCCCCGGAGAGGGUCAAGGAGAACCUCAACGCCGCCACCUACCUCCAGGGCGAGCUGGCCAAGGGCCAGCGCAAGCUGGUCAAGGCCAGGCACUGCCGGCUGGACGACGUGCUCACGCAGUGGGACCGCCACCUCGACGACCUCCCCGUCCACGACCUCAACGAGCUGUACCGGACGCUGGGCGAGACGCUGCAGAGGGCACAGCGCCGGAUCGCCGAGCUCGGCGUGACGUCGUCCGCGCUCGGGGUGGUGACCGCGCCCGAGCAGCAGCAUGGCCCGGCGUUCCCUGGCAACGCCUUCGACUUCGGCUUCGGCUGCUUGUCCUCGGGCGCCACCCCCUCCGUGGCCCUACCCCUACUAGGAGCGCAGGACUACCACUACCUUCCCCGAGACAUCCCGCCGCCGCCGCCGCUCUCUGUCCAGCCGCCCUACCUCGGCUUCCACAUGCUGCCGUCGGGCAUCGCCUUUGGGUCCCCGCUGCCGCUGCCCCUUCAGAUGUCGGCGCCGUCGGGUUUCAGCUUUACCAGCGCAGCAGGCAUGAGCAUGACGAUGGACCGCCUGCAUUACGACGCCAACGCCGUCGUCAAUGGGGGCACGGCGGCAACCGGUGCGGCGUUUUAUGAUGAUUUUGGCAGCAGGCAGGGGCAGGGUUUUGGUACUGGUGCGGCAUACCACCACCAGGAUCUACUUGGGUAUGGCUGCUUUGACGCCGGCUACGAUGUUGAGCCCCGGGCUGCUGCCGGGGUUUGGCCGCUGGCUACUCCGAAUAAUAAUCAAGUGGUGGACGCUGCCGCCUACCAGCUGCAGAAUGAUCCAUCUGCGUUAUGGUCGGAGAAUGGCGCCGGUCACCUUGCCCUGCAGGGCGGACAAGAAGAGCGGGGUCGGCUGCGGCGGUUUCACCGGAGGGUGUAG
This 1143-nucleotide ribosomal RNA is filed under the name Triticum aestivum (bread wheat). RNAcentral describes it as "partial small subunit ribosomal RNA". The record is from RNAcentral. Lineage: Eukaryota; Viridiplantae; Streptophyta; Magnoliopsida; Poales; Poaceae.